UUUUGGGAAGAGAGAGAGUGACAGAUCAAGGAAAAAUCGGGAAAGCCCGAUCUCUCUUCUUCCUCUUCCCUCCUCACGCGCAGAGUGACCGGAGAAGACAAUCCGGCAGAUCCGUCGCCGUCGAGCCACCCCAGGUCGUCCCACCGGUCGGAAAGCUUCCUCUCUUCCUCCUCUUUCAUCUAAGCUUGAUUUGACCGGAGGAAGCAAGAUUGACAAUGAACAGUGGUGUGAACAGUAACUGACGAAUUCUUGAUUUUGGGGUUAAAUUUCCGGCUAUUUGUGCUUGAAAUUGGUUGUUGUUGCAGGUAUAGAAAUUGUUGGGCUUGUUGUGGAGAUUGUGUAGGUAUAAAUUUCUUGGCCGGUUAGGGGUGUUGGAGUGGUGGCGCGUGGAGGCUUUGUCAGUCCUUUAGGAAAGCUUUAUGCUAGUUUUUGAAAUAUAUUUAGUGUUGGGAACCCUUGA
Molecule: long non-coding RNA, 460 nt
Organism: Rosa rugosa (rugosa rose)
Lineage: Eukaryota; Viridiplantae; Streptophyta; Magnoliopsida; Rosales; Rosaceae
Exons: 2
Source: RefSeq, a predicted model, not a curated record